UGUUAAUGCUCUGUGUCUCUGCUGUCCAGAACGGGGCUUGGCUCUCUUUCACGCAGCGGAUUACCCGCGCGUGUGAAAGAGCCCUUAGUGUCAGAUUUUGAAGAUCAAAAUAUCUGUUUCAGUUGAUGGGAAUGAGGAAAACAAAAUAAAAACUUGGACACAGUUGGGUGAAUAAAGUGGACCUGUCGCUACAAAAUGCAAUGCAAUCUGAAAGCACCAUGUUAUAGAGCAGGAGAAGCUGAAUAGAUUAAUAUAUUUUUGUGGGAAAAGAGUCUGUAAAACCUAUAAUUUCUAAAAUGUAUAUUUAUAGGGUUCUUACAGCCUGUGUAUGAGUAUGCAUACAGCGAUAGCGUUCAGUCACUGAUACCUCUUGCUGCAGAUAGAGCAGCAUAUCAUUAAAACGAAAACUAGCGGUAUGACAUCUAGUAACCAUGCCCUAUUGUGCCGGGUAU
This is a long non-coding RNA of Bufo bufo (common toad), 452 nucleotides long. RefSeq lists it as uncharacterized. The transcript is spliced from 3 exons. The record is from RefSeq and is a predicted model, not a curated record. NCBI's taxonomy places the organism in Eukaryota, Metazoa, Chordata, Amphibia, Anura, Bufonidae.